This 272-nucleotide unclassified non-coding RNA is filed under the name Hevea brasiliensis (rubber tree). The record is from RNAcentral. Lineage: Eukaryota; Viridiplantae; Streptophyta; Magnoliopsida; Malpighiales; Euphorbiaceae.
AGUACCAUUAAGCUAAAGCUCAUUGGUGGCACUAGGACAAUUUAAGCAACCAGCAAGAAGCAUUCAAUAGCACGAGUACUAAAAUCCCACAACAAAAUAAGAAUUUUGGUCAAGAUGACUAGACAAGUUCAGAAUAAGGCCAACCUAUGAAUAUCAAUUUUGUUAACAGUUAACAGGACAGACUCGCUGCAUAUGCAAAUUAAUGCCAUGGCUCAGCACACUCAUGUUCUGCAUAUUAAAAUCCCUGUUCCCUUAUGACCCACUUUAAUGAU